RNAcentral lists this ribosomal RNA (484 nucleotides) under uncultured bacterium. Its description in RNAcentral is "partial 16S ribosomal RNA". It matches the Rfam family "Bacterial small subunit ribosomal RNA", at positions 30 to 507 of the family's 1533-position model. The record is from RNAcentral.
AUUGAACGCUGGCGGCAGGCCUAACACAUGCAAGUCGAGCGGAUGAAGGGAGCUUGCUCCUGGAUUCAGCGGCGGACGGGUGAGUAAUGCCUAGGAAUCUGCCUGGUAGUGGGGGAUAACGUCCGGAAACGGGCGCUAAUACCGCAUACGUCCUGAGGGAGAAAGUGGGGGAUCUUCGGACCUCACGCUAUCGGAUGAGCCUAGGUCGGAUUAGCUAGUUGGUGGGGUAAAGGCCUACCAAGGCGACGAUCCGUAACUGGUCUGAGAGGAUGAUCAGUCACACUGGAACUGAGACACGGUCCAGACUCCUACGGGAGGCAGCAGUGGGGAAUAUUGGACGAUGGGCGAAAGCCUGAUCCAGCCAUGCCGCGUGUGUGAAGAAGGUCUUCGGAUUGUAAAGCACUUUAAGUUGGGAGGAAGGGCAGUAAGUUAAUACCUUGCUGUUUUGACGUUACCAACAGAAUAAGCACCGGCUAACUUCGUG